AUUUCUAUUUAUAUAGUUUAAGCAAAACAUUACAUUUUCAUUGUAAAAUUAAAUUCAUUUUUGUAA
RNAcentral lists this transfer RNA (66 nucleotides) under Metanoeus sp. UPOL 000434. RNAcentral describes it as "tRNA-Glu". Lineage: Eukaryota; Metazoa; Arthropoda; Insecta; Coleoptera; Lycidae. The record is from RNAcentral.